Long non-coding RNA from Gadus morhua (Atlantic cod), 668 nucleotides. RefSeq lists it as uncharacterized. NCBI's taxonomy places the organism in Eukaryota, Metazoa, Chordata, Actinopteri, Gadiformes, Gadidae. The record is from RefSeq and is a predicted model, not a curated record. The transcript is spliced from 5 exons.
GUUGAAGACAAUUCAACGAAAAGCUGCUGAGGAAAGAGGUCCUGCAGUUAGUACAUCUCCUAAAGUUGGUGGGCCAGGCCAUGGGCGUACUAGACCCUUUACUGCCGACAGAGUCCUGACUGACGAGGAAGUGGAAUGCACUAUCGCUUUGUUGAGACACACUGCUGAUGAGGAGACCAUCCGUGAAAAGAUGAAAGUCACUUUCGCAUACCGCCACGCCAUGGUCAAUGAUGAGAACAAAUCAGCAGAGGUCUUCUCAGUAUUUCCACGGUUCCUAGACACACCAGGACUGAUAGAACAAGAUUUUAGAGUGAUGUUUGGUGAGCAGACUGCCAACAAGUUCAUGGAGAGGUGGCCUACCACUUUCAAAGCAGGAGUCAUUAAGGAAAGCCAUGGACUGGUCCCCUCCACAGACCUUCUUGAUUUAAUGCGCAACGCUGAGACAUCUACUGAAGUUGAAAAAGGCUGGGACAGUGACAUGUCUGCCAUCAUACUGCUGCUACAUCUGCUACCACCAUCUGCACAGGGACGAAAGAGGCCAGGGAAGAUAUCUGCAUCUAAUGCAGUUUAUCACCUCAUCAAAUUCCAAAAGACGGGAACAAGUGUGCAGCAGCAUCUUGACAACAUCCCUCAAAGCAGUCAGCCCUACCUCCUUGCUCACGGACCCA